ACUGUUUUUUACAGGUGUGAGUCUACAGUCUGAUCUUAGCCAGCUUGAACAAGGUAUUUUUAACCCCCCCCCCCAGGAAACUGAGUGAGUGGAAGCCACUCCAGUGUUAUUAUUAAAGACUUAAUAACGUGGAACUCUGUGGACUCCUCCCUAGGGGAAUGAGUGGAGAGAGAUGGGGGCAGGGUUGACUUCGUGCAAACCUGGACAGCAGAGCAAAGGAACAUUGAACACUCACUGGGCUUUUCUUGCUUCUUUUCUGUGAGUUUGGAAAAAAAAAAAAAAAAAAAAAAAGCAUGAUCCACAGGCAUUUCCCCCCAGAAAUCCUAUUUCCAUGAUUAUAGCUGAAUAUUUGCCAUUUGUGAUGCAGACCUGAAGCCAGAGGACAGCCCUGAGGAAGGAACCUUAAACUAAUUGAGGCAGGUCCCUGGGAAUGCUGCCUGGGGUGAUAGAGAACAUUAGUUUCUAUUUUCCAAUCAAACAUUGAACACUCAAACAACUGGAGGGUAAGUUUACUUUUCCUCACUUUUUGUCCAGGAGUGGAAAAAAAACCCUAAAGAUAUUAUCUAGGAUCCUAAUGGACACCCCCACACACACACCACCCCCUAAGAGUGCACGUCACAUGAGUAAAUGAGAAAGGCUGAGUCAUCCACCUCCCCUCACAGUGGGGAGCAUGAUGCGUCGGAGGGCUGACGCAGCUCUUUGCUCCUCUGCACAGAGCAUCCCGUGCCUCCUUGACCCACGGGAGUCCGCAGUGAAUCGUGCACUCUCGUUACCUUCAGACAGUAACCCCGUGAGCUAACUGGCAUUACCUGUGCUUGACAACCAAGGAAACUGAGCCUCUCAGACAGCUAUGAGAACUUUGCUCAAGGUCACCCAGCUUCUCAGGGGCAGAAGCAAGACUACUGAUAGGCCGGUCCAGUUUCCAGUCUCAUCCCCGGCCCCUCCCAGCACUGCCUGGACGGUGGCGGUGGAGCUGAGAGCUCAGUGUCCCAUGCUGCUGCAUCCUCCAUUGAAUAUGAAGCUCAACCUGCCGCACAGAUCUGUAAAUUAGUAGGCGGUGUCUAAAUUGUAUUGGGAGCAUUUGUGGCAAUGAAGCACCCGUGGGGAGGUGGUAGAAAGGAAGGGGAAAUGCAGUUAGGUCUGUUAUUCCAGGGUCAGCCAUUCUCAAGCUUGAUGUGACAUUGGCACCCUGCCGUGUCUUGUGACCUGAAUAAUUAAUAUUACUGGAUUUCAGGCGCUGUUUUCUCAUGCCUGGUCACUGAAUGCCACCUCUUUGCAGACAGAGAAGCUUGAAGAACAUGCCCAAGGUCUCUGGGACGCUGAGCAGCAGAGCUGAGGCUCGUGCUUAUUCUGCCUCCCAGUGACACCCUGUCCUCUCCCCAAGGGAAGUCACCUACCUUUCCGGCUGACGUAAGCAGUCCUCUGCAGAAGGGGCCACUUCAGAGGUGCUGCCCCUCCGAGUUGUACACCAGUAGAUAGAGGGUGAAGUUUUGUGCUCCCAGCCAGCGAGGCUGGGCGACACAGACCUCCUCAUUCUCUGCCGCAAGGAGAAGUGCAAAGGGCUGCAGUCCCUUGCAUGUGAGCUGGGAUUGUCUGGUAACAUUGCAACAAGGUCAGAGGAGGAAUAGACAGGAGGAGGCGCAGGGAAGGACAGGGAGGAAGGAAUACGGGCCAGGUGCAGAUAGACAGCUAUGAAAACGCCAUCCUGAAGCCCAAUGUUUUGUAUGCUAACUAAAAACACUUAGUUUUACAUUUCAACACGGGAAACUGGUUCUCUUAGCAUUCACGUAACCACCAUCAAAGCUGUAUGUACUUUUAAGGGCACUGACUGGUAUUGUUCAUAGUAGCAAAAGCUAGAAGCAACCAAAUGAGCAGUGGGGGAUGGUUGGUGUGCAUAAAGAAGGUCCCUACUCCCAGCUGAGGAACUCUCCACAGGGAGACAUCUGCCUGGCUCAGGAGAGGCUUCUUGAGAGAAAAUGCUAGUCUCUCAAGAGCACUGUAUCAAGACUAAAUACUCUAAAUAGAACAUCUCUGGAAAACUAUACAGAUUUAAAAAUUAAAAAAACAAAAACCAACAACUUAAGUCUUGAUAAAGUCCAGCUACGUAGCCAACCGGGAAGCCCCGUCCUUGGUCUUCUCAGAGGUCCUGACCCUGCCUGCUGUCUGUGCCACCGUGUCGAGGCCCCCUGAGGCGGCAUUAGUUGGCCAGUCUCUCCUUGGUGCCAUCCCUGCAGAUGGAUGUAAGCAACCUCUCGCGGCAUCCCGGCUUCACACAGAAUCAUCUCUCUGAAACAACAACAACAACAAACAGGAGAGACCGGCCGAAAGAUGCCGUUUAAAAAUAAUGCGGUUACUCAUGGAACUGGAUGCGCUUUUGACUGUGAAGGAGACGGGCAGGGAACUUUAGCUGAGGACCGGUGAGGACAUGACCCACGUUAGGCUCUUUUCUGCCUAACGACUCAGAGGACGUCUCUCAUUGGCUGCAGGAGAGAGCUUCUCUCCAUCUCAUUGGCUGGGACUUUGCCAGCCGGGCCCUUUGUCCUCUGCUAAGCCCGUGGCAGGUAUUCCAUUGUGGUCAAAGUGGCUGCAGCUUGGGAGUCCAGAAAUCCAGGUUCUAGAGCUACCCCGUGUCCCCGACAGAAAAGCAGUUAUCCCACACCAGUGACACCAGCAUCUUUGCCUCCUUCGAGAGCGCCAUUGUCUCAAGCCGCAGUGGUACAGCGCUUUCUUCUGCUACUUGUUCAGGACCUGGUACCAAACCCAAGGGCAGGCUGAGUCCAGAAUCCAGGGGCUCAGAACAGCAGAGUGCAGGCUUGCCUGGACCCGGCUUCCUGGAAAAACAGGGUUCUGAGGGAGGCCUGGAGGAGCCAAAAAAGAUCUCUCGUUUGCAAUUAGAAGACAAUUAAGACAGGAUUCAGAACAGCUUCGUGUUAAAAGCCAGUCACUGCUGAAUUCCUCAUGGGUAGGAGGAGGAUGGGAAGUGAGGAGGCAUGGCAUGCAUGUGGGAGAAAUCUUAGCUGGUGGCUAAUUGCAUGAUUUAAGUUCCAUAGGGCUCUGCACCCCCUGGGGAGACCCGGCUUCCACACUACAUGCUUAAUCCCUGGAGAAUGUCCCUGUCACUCAGGGGCCUCAGCCAGGCAAUCGGUGCCUCUGGGAGAGAGGGGAUUCCUUCAUCCCAGCCCUCCCCCAGCACCCUCCUCUGUCUCCUCUUAUCACCUGCCUGCCUGUCUGUCUGUCAGGCCAGUUGGUCGUCAGAGCAUAAACAUUUCAGGCUAUGUGCCCACCAGCUCCGGGAUCAGGUGACCUGAUUAUGGAAGGCUACACCGGAGGCCUCUGCAUGCCAGCGUGUCGCCAGGAACAGUGAGAGCCUGUGAUGUGCUGACCUCACAGAGUGGGCACCCGUGCAGCUGGCCUGGGUGAGUGCCCCUCCCUGGUAUGGCUUCUUUGAUCACCCUAGGCCACCCUGCAGGCAUGGGAAGCCCUGCUGGUUCCCCCUCUGGACAGAUGGUAGGUCUACAAGCUGUCAGUGCAGUCCCUUUGCCUCUUGGAACCUCUGUGUCACUUUCUGAAAGUCAGAAGCAGAGCCAGGUGUGGUGGCACAUGCAUGUUUCUUGAUCAGGAGGCGGAGGCAGGAGAAUUGGGGUUUUCAAAGUCAUUUUUGGCUAGGAGUUUGAGGCAAGCCUGGAUCACAUGAGACCCUGACUCAGAAAAACAAAAAGAAAACAAUGGGGUUACUGUGAGGGGGAAAUGAAAAAACAGCCCAAUGUCAUCUGGUUCUGAUGGGACUCAGUAAGCCAGUGUGGGCUGUUUUUAUCGUGGUUUGUGGACUUGCUCUGAGAGGAGGCUGGUAAUCCUCAUACAGUCCCUCUCUGGGUGCCAGCACCCUCUGCAUGCACAAGCCCUGGGUGAAAAGAUACCAUCCCAGAAACAGGCAAAAGAGGAGCAGGGGCAUUGUCAGAGGAACCCGAGAUGACUGAAGAACUCACAGACCUGGAUCUGAGUCCUGGCUCUGCCCAUUGUCACCAAGCUCCUGAGACUGUGUUACCUCACUUCUCAGUGCUUCCUGACUUCCCUCAUCCAGAAGAUGGGCAUGGCAGAUCUUUCCUCCACUGUUGUCAGGCUCAAGUGUGGCUCGGGGUCAUUAUGAUUCAUUACAGCAGCAAAAUUACAGUUAUGAAGUAGCAACAAAAAUAAUUAGGAAGGCUGAGAACCACUGUUCUAAAGUUUGAUGCCCUACAGAAGUGACAAAAUGGCCUUCAGCUUCUCCAUGUCUACAUCCUCCCAGGGUGAAGUCUAAGAGAAAAGCAUGCUCCUCCCACAGUGAUCCUAACAACAUCCUUGUUGCCUGCUCUGGUUGUGAUGAAAAGAUAGCCUCAAACCCAUCUAUAACUAGAAAAUGUGGCACUUCCUCUGCUGAUCUGGUGUCACGUCCACUCUUGGUGAUGUCAACUCUACCUGAGUGCCAAACUGAAACCUGGGAGUUUAUGGCUCCCAAACUGGGAAGUCACAGGGUGCCAGGGCGAGCGGUUUCUGGGCCUAACUACACUGUUCUUUUACUUGGAAAAAAAAAAAUGUCUACCAUGUCCCCAGGGUUUGUCUUAUCAGGUAUGUCUGAGCUCGAAGGACACAGAGCAACAGGCAUUUCAGAACACUUGGCACACAGUAAAGAUAUUUGAAAAAUGUUCACAAAA
Molecule: long non-coding RNA, 4691 nt
Organism: Peromyscus maniculatus bairdii (prairie deer mouse)
Lineage: Eukaryota; Metazoa; Chordata; Mammalia; Rodentia; Cricetidae
Source: RefSeq, a predicted model, not a curated record